This 401-nucleotide ribosomal RNA is filed under the name uncultured Clostridium sp. RNAcentral describes it as "bacterial SSU rRNA". It matches the Rfam family "Bacterial small subunit ribosomal RNA", at positions 356 to 774 of the family's 1533-position model. The record is from RNAcentral. Lineage: Bacteria; Bacillati; Bacillota; Clostridia; Eubacteriales; Clostridiaceae.
GGGGAAUAUUGCACAAUGGGGGAAACCCUGAUGCAGCAACGCCGCGUGAGUGAUGACGGUCUUCGGAUUGUAAAGCUCUGUCUUUAGGGACGAUAAUGACGGUACCUAAGGAGGAAGCCACGGCUAACUACGUGCCAGCAGCCGCGGUAAUACGUAGGUGGCAAGCGUUGUCCGGAUUUACUGGGCGUAAAGGGAGCGUAGGUGGAUAUUUAAGUGGGAUGUGAAAUACCCGGGCUUAACCUGGGUGCUGCAUUCCAAACUGGAUAUCUAGAGUGCAGGAGAGGAAAGGAGAAUUCCUAGUGUAGCGGUGAAAUGCGUAGAGAUUAGGAAGAAUACCAGUGGCGAAGGCGCCUUUCUGGACUGUAACUGACACUGAGGCUCGAAAGCGUGGGGAGCAAACA